This 441-nucleotide ribosomal RNA is filed under the name uncultured bacterium. RNAcentral's name for it is "partial 16S ribosomal RNA". It matches the Rfam family "Bacterial small subunit ribosomal RNA", at positions 338 to 795 of the family's 1533-position model. The record is from RNAcentral.
CCUACGGGGGGCAGCAGUGGGGGAUAUUGCACAAUGGGGGAAACCCUGAUGCAGCGACGCCGCGUGGGUGAAGAAGUAUUUCGGUAUGUAAAGCCCUAUCAGCAGGGAAGAAAGACGACGGUACCUGACUAAGACGCCCCGGCUAACUACGUGCCAGCAGCCGCGGUAAUACGUAGGGGGCGAGCGUUAUCCGGAUUCACUGGGUGUAAAGGGAGCGUAGACGGCCGUGCAAGCCAGGAGUGAAAGCCCGGGGCCCAACCCCGGGACUGCUCUUGGAACUGUGCGGCUGGAGUGCGGGAGGGGCAGGCGGAAUUCCUGGUGUAGCGGUGAAAUGCGUAGAUAUCAGGAGGAACACCGGCGGCGAAGGCGGCCUGCUGGACCGCGACUGACGUUGAGGCUCGAAAGCGUGGGGAGCGAACAGGAUUAGAUACCCGUGUAGUC